RNAcentral lists this ribosomal RNA (404 nucleotides) under Verrucomicrobiota bacterium. RNAcentral's name for it is "Verrucomicrobia bacterium partial 16S ribosomal RNA". It matches the Rfam family "Bacterial small subunit ribosomal RNA", at positions 355 to 776 of the family's 1533-position model. Lineage: Bacteria; Pseudomonadati; Verrucomicrobiota. The record is from RNAcentral.
UGGGGAAUAUUGCACAAUGGGGGAAACCCUGAUGCAGCGACGCCGCGUGAGCGAUGAAGGCUUUCGAGUCGUAAAGCUCUGUCCUAUGGGAAGAUAAUGACGGUACCAUAGAAGAAAGCCCCGGCUAAUUACGUGCCAGCAGCCGCGGUAAUACGUAAGGGGCGAGCGUUGUCCGGAAUUAUUGGGCGUAAAGAGUGCGUAGGCUGCAAAUUAAGUCAGAUGUGAAAACUAAGGGCUCAACCCAUAGAUUGCAUCUGAAACUGAUAUGCUUGAGUCAAGGAGAGGAAAGUGGAAUUCCUAGUGUAGCGGUGGAAUGCGUAGAUAUUAGGAGGAAUACCGGUGGCGAAGGCGACUUUCUGGACUUGAACUGACGCUGAGGCACGAAAGCGUGGGGAGCAAACAGG